This 484-nucleotide ribosomal RNA is filed under the name uncultured bacterium. RNAcentral describes it as "partial 16S ribosomal RNA". It matches the Rfam family "Bacterial small subunit ribosomal RNA", at positions 30 to 507 of the family's 1533-position model. The record is from RNAcentral.
AUUGAACGCUGGCGGCAGGCCUAACACAUGCAAGUCGAGCGGAUGAAGGGAGCUUGCUCCUGGAUUCAGCGGCGGACGGGCGAGUAAUGCCUAGGAAUCUGCCUGGCAGUUGGGGAUAACGUCCGGACACGGGCGCUAAUACCGCAUACGUCCAGAGGGAGAACGGGGGGGAUCAUCGGAUCUCACGCUCUUAGGUGAGCCUAGGUCGGAUUAGCUAGUUGGUGGGGUAAAGGCCUACCAAGGCGACGAUCCGUAACUGGUCUGAGAGGAUGAUCAGUCACACUGGAACUGAGACACGGUCCAGACUCCUACGGGAGGCAGCAGUGGGGAAUAUUGGACAAUGGGCGAAAGCCUGAUCCAGCCAUGCCGCGUGUGUGAAGAAGGUCUUCGGAUUGUAAAGCACUUUUAGUUGGGAAGAAGAGCAGUAAGUUAAUACCUUGCUGUUUUGACGUUACCAAAAGAAUAAGCACCGGCUAACUUCGUG